CCUACGGGUGGCAGCAGUGGGGGAUAUUGCACAAUGGGGGGAACCCUGAUGCAGCGACGCCGCGUGGGUGAAGAAGCGCCUCGGCGCGUAAAGCCCUGUCAGCAGGGGAGAAAAUGACGGUACCUGAGGAAGAAGCCCCGGCUCACUACGUGCCAGCAGCCGCGGUAAUACGUAGGGGGCAAGCGUUAUCCGGAUUUACUGGGUGUAAGGGGGGCGCAGACGGCGAUGCAAGCCAGGAGUGAAAGCCCGGGGCCCAACCCCGGGACUGCUGUUGGAACUGCGUGGCUGGAGUGCAGGAGGGGCAGGCGGAAUUCGUGGUGUAGCGGUGAAAUGCGUAGAUAUCAGGAAGAACACCGGUGGCGAAGGCGGCCUGCUGGACGGCAACUGACGUUGAGGCCCGAAAGCGUGGGGAGCAAACAGGAUUAGAUACCCGAGUAGUC
This 440-nucleotide ribosomal RNA is filed under the name uncultured bacterium. Its description in RNAcentral is "partial 16S ribosomal RNA". It matches the Rfam family "Bacterial small subunit ribosomal RNA", at positions 338 to 795 of the family's 1533-position model. The record is from RNAcentral.